GACGCCGUGGCCGAGCGGUACAGGCGGCGGUUUGCAAAACCGUCUCAGGUGGGUUCGACUCCCACCGGCGUCUCCC
This 76-nucleotide transfer RNA is filed under the name Actinomadura madurae. RNAcentral's name for it is "tRNA_Cys_GCA". It matches the Rfam family "tRNA". Rfam says of the family: Transfer RNA (tRNA) molecules are approximately 80 nucleotides in length. Their secondary structure includes four short double-helical elements and three loops (D, anti-codon, and T loops). Further hydrogen bonds mediate the characteristic L-shaped molecular structure. tRNAs have two regions of fundamental functional importance: the anti-codon, which is responsible for specific mRNA codon recognition, and the 3' end, to which the tRNAs corresponding amino acid is attached (by aminoacyl-tRNA synthetases). tRNAs cope with the degeneracy of the genetic code in two manners: having more than one tRNA (with a specific anti-codon) for a particular amino acid; and 'wobble' base-pairing, i.e. permitting non-standard base-pairing at the 3rd anti-codon position. Lineage: Bacteria; Bacillati; Actinomycetota; Actinomycetes; Streptosporangiales; Thermomonosporaceae. The record is from RNAcentral.